CCUACGGGGAGCAGCAGUGAGGAAUAUUGGUCAAUGGGCGCGAGCCUGAACCAGCCAAGCCGCGUGCAGGAUGACUGCACUACGGGUUGUAAACUUCUUUUAUAAAGGAAUAAACUGAGGCACGUGUGCCUUUUUGUAAGUACUUUAUGAAUAAGGAUCGGCUAACUCCGUGCCAGCAUCCGCGGUAAUACGGAGGAUCCGAGCGUUAUCCGGAUUUAUUGGGUUUAAAGGGAGCGUAGGCGGGGUGUUAAGUUAGUUGUGAAAGUAUGCGGCUCAACCUUAAAAUUGCAAUUGAUACUGGUAGCCUUGAGUACAGUUGAGGUAGGCGGAAUGUGUGGUGUAGCGGUGAAAUGCUUAGAGAUCACGAAGAACACCGAUUGCGAAGGCAGCUUACUAAGCUGCCACUGACAUUGAGGCACGAAAGUGUGGGGAUCAAACAGGAUUAGAUACCCGGGUAGUC
RNAcentral lists this ribosomal RNA (460 nucleotides) under uncultured bacterium. Its description in RNAcentral is "partial 16S ribosomal RNA". It matches the Rfam family "Bacterial small subunit ribosomal RNA", at positions 338 to 795 of the family's 1533-position model. The record is from RNAcentral.